This 407-nucleotide ribosomal RNA is filed under the name uncultured bacterium. RNAcentral describes it as "partial 16S ribosomal RNA". It matches the Rfam family "Bacterial small subunit ribosomal RNA", at positions 30 to 526 of the family's 1533-position model. The record is from RNAcentral.
AUUGAACGCUGGCGGCAGGCCUAACACAUGCAAGUCGAGCGUAGCGUCGGACGGGUGAGUAAUUCCUACGAAUCUGCCUGGUACUGGGGUAUAACGUCCGGAAACGGGCGCUAAUACCACAUACUAUCAGAUGAGCCUAGGUCGGAUUAGCUAGUUGGUGGGGUAAAGGCCUACCAAGGCGAAUAUCCGUAACUGGUCUGAGAGGAUGAUCAGUCAAACUGGAACUGAGACACGGUCCAGACUCCUACGGGAGGCAGCAGGGGGGAAGAUUGGACAAUGGGCGAAAGCCUGAUCCAGCCAUGCCGCGUGUGUGAAGAAGGUCUUCGGAUUGUAAAGCACUAUAAGUUGGGAGGCGUUACCAACAGAAUAAGCACCGGCUAACUUCGUGCCAGCAGCCGCGGUAAUUC